This 255-nucleotide unclassified non-coding RNA is filed under the name Hevea brasiliensis (rubber tree). Lineage: Eukaryota; Viridiplantae; Streptophyta; Magnoliopsida; Malpighiales; Euphorbiaceae. The record is from RNAcentral.
UUUAGUCACUUGGUCGCAAAAUCCAGCUGUCAAGUGGAUGGAACAUGAAAUUCAUAAAUUUGCAUCCCUUGGUGAUAUUAUUAUAUUGUAUAACAUUGUUAAGAAAAUGCUAAUUUGUCUCCAAGCAUCUACAAAUUAUAGUCAACCAUCAUAUAAAAAUAGGCUGAAGUCAAGUGCACAUGUUAGCUGUUGGGACUAAGUGCACAUGUCAGCUGUUGGGACUAUGUUAUUACCUCAUAUCAGAAAUGAAAAGGA